GUGCUCACUUUGGCAGCACAUACACUAAAAUUGGAACGAUAUAGAGAAGAUUAGCAUGGCCCCUGAGCAAGGAUGACACACAAAUUCGUAAAGCAUUCCGCAUUUUA
Molecule: small nuclear RNA, 107 nt
Organism: Tupaia belangeri (northern tree shrew)
Lineage: Eukaryota; Metazoa; Chordata; Mammalia; Scandentia; Tupaiidae
Source: Ensembl